Long non-coding RNA from Spodoptera frugiperda (fall armyworm), 787 nucleotides. RefSeq lists it as uncharacterized. NCBI's taxonomy places the organism in Eukaryota, Metazoa, Arthropoda, Insecta, Lepidoptera, Noctuidae. The record is from RefSeq and is a predicted model, not a curated record. The transcript has 3 exons.
ACUAUGGUAAGUUAUUAAAAACUCAUCCAUUACACCUCCUCCCAGUCCUGCAAACCAACAGAUGUUCUUUCUGAGGCGAAUUUCCGCGUCUUUAUGUAUAUUUUUUUAUUGUGCAAUGGGCAAGCUAGCUUACACUGUCUAGAGAGAUAGUGCAAGCUAGAUUCGACCUCUUGAACACAACUUAAAAACAAAAUAAUAAUUGAUGUCUAAUUAUAAUAUUAUCUGUAAACUUAUUUUCGUCUUUAUUUUCAUUCAUAACUAUUUAUUUUUCUUUAGCCACCAACGAAAGUGAGUACAAAAUCCGUUUAAUACUACCAAUCAGAACUACCUAACCCAUUUAUAUUGUUUAAAAUAUUGACACAUUUAUGAUCUGUUUUCUUUAGGUAAACGUAAGUAGCAUUUAUUUCACUAGUAAUUCGUUUGAUUUCGUAUAAAAUAACGUAUUUUACAAAAAAAAUGAUUGUUUAAUUAUCUUUUAACAUUGCAGUGCAUGUGUUUGACUCGCGGCCCAUUGCCGUUAUUCAAACUCAUCGGUAACCUUAAGUUCAAGAAAAUCAAAAUACCGAGAAAAAAGCAGCAUGUGACUUCAUUAACUGAUGGGCCCUCGACGGUUUGUCCACCUUGUAACUGCGCCGACUGUUUCACUACGGAGCCCAUACAAACUAAACAGAAAAUCGGGUGUUGAUAGAGAGAUCAGCAACCUUUCAUAAUUGUAGUACCUACAGCUACAACUAUCGCAUAUCUGCAACUGAUCUGGGUCUAAUAAAUUAGUAUUGAAGCAUUAAAA